Molecule: ribosomal RNA, 274 nt
Filed under: uncultured soil bacterium
Lineage: Bacteria
Description: partial 16S ribosomal RNA
Rfam family: Bacterial small subunit ribosomal RNA
Source: RNAcentral
AGAAUCAACGCUGGCGGCGUGCCUAAUACAUGCAAGUCGUACGCGAAAGUCCCGCAAGGGGCGAAGUAGAGUGGCAAACGGGUGAGUAACGCGUGGGCGACCUACCUUCGAGUGGGGGAUAACCUUCCGAAAGGAGGGCUAAUACCGCAUGACAUUCCGUGUUUGGAUACAUGGAUAUCAAAGCCGGGGAUCGCAAGGACCUGGCGCUUGGAGAGGGGCCCGCGUCCGAUUAGCUAGUUGGUGGGGUAACGGCCCACCAAGGCUUCGAUCGGUA